This 443-nucleotide long non-coding RNA is filed under the name Gallus gallus (chicken). RNAcentral describes it as "lncRNA (ENSGALG00010019364.1)". Lineage: Eukaryota; Metazoa; Chordata; Aves; Galliformes; Phasianidae. The record is from RNAcentral.
GCCUUGCUGGUUUCUCGGCUCCUUCCUGCGAUGGAGACCAGUUGGAAUCCCAUGGGUCCGCAAAGAGGAAACAGAGGAAAGGAUACACCUAGAAGAGGGAAGUACUACUGGUGGUCAUCCCGUGUCCUAAAGGAACCUGUGAAGAAAAUGGAGAAGGCAGCGCAUGGUGGGACUAAAGGGACUGACCAAGAGACUGUGCAGAAGGAGCCAUUGCAGGAAAGCAGCAGUGACACACGGCCAGUCUCUGAUAGAAAAACACAGGCAGAACAAGCAGCUGGAUUGCCAGGGGUGGAUGUUGGGAAAAUCACAACGGCCGCUGUUGGCGAAGAGCUGCGAAAACACCACAUCCCAGUGAUUGCUGUGGUCUCCGCUGUGCUGCUGUCCGUGCUGAUGCUGGCCUGUGUUCCUAUGCUGUGGAUGUGGAAAAAAUAUCUGUGAGUUAG